CCACACCUAAAAACUAUCCACGUGAACCGUUAAGCAAACAAGUUAAGGCAGGCGCGAUUGGUGGUGCGUCUGGGAAGCGCUUGUCGAUAUUCGAUCGGAUCGGAUAUUGUCGGGCGUCGUCCUGGACACGCUGUCGAGCGGAGUCGGCUAAACGAAGGUCGGGCGUUCGCUAUCGGAGCGAUGUGCGCGUUGUCGUACGUUGCUGCAAUGGCUCGAGCAAGCGGCUGAUUUAUGUCUUUCAAACCAUACCUGACGUACUGAUUAUACUGUGAGGACGAAAGUCCUUGCUUUUACUAGAUAACAACUUUCAGCAGUGGAUGUCUAGGCUCGCACAUCGAUGAAGAACGCUGCGAACUGCGAUACGUAAUGCGAAUUGCAGAAUUCAGUGAGUCAUCGAAAUUUUGAACGCAUAUUGCACUUCCGGGUUAUGCCUGGAAGUAUGUCUGUAUCAGUGUCCGUACAUUAAACUUGCCUCUCUUCGUCGGUGUAGUCCGGCUUGGAGAAGGAGCAGAGGUGAAGUGUCUCGCGCCAUGCUGGUGAUCUAUCUUCGGGUAGAUGACGAGAGUGCACGAGUCCUUUGAAAUGGACUCCGGUUUUUCUAUUGCGUUGCUCAAGGGCGUGUAUUUUGAACGCGGCAAUCUCGUCGAUUGCCUGCAGAUGUUUACGACCUUGGCGAGAACACAUGUGGAAGCAAGCUCCUUUUCGCGGUACGUUAGGCUUCGGCUGGACAAUGUUGUGAGAGGGUGUGUGUCUUUCGUUUUCGCUUGGAGGUGUAUAUUGUACUGUGGGUGGUUCGCGUGUGUUUUGUCGGUAGUAGAGGUAUGCGUUUGUCGGCACGCACUUGCUGUGUGGUUGAUUGCGCUUGCGUAGUGAAUCUUGCAGAUAGAGAGACUGAUUUGGGCAAUUCUGUACUACUUGGCACGCUACCGAGCUCGUGUAUGUGUGUUGGUCGUAUCUCAAUUGGACCUGAUAUCAGACAAGACUACCCGCU
The sequence is a ribosomal RNA, 991 nucleotides long. The stretch from base 303 to 457 matches the Rfam family "5.8S ribosomal RNA".